AGUGAACGCUGGCGGUAGGCCUAACACAUGCAAGUCGAACGGCAGCACAGUAAGAGCUUGCUCUUACGGGUGGCGAGUGGCGGACGGGUGAGGAAUACAUCGGAAUCUACUUUUUCGUGGGGGAUAACGUAGGGAAACUUACGCUAAUACCGCAUACGACCUACGGGUGAAAGCAGGGGAUCUUCGGACCUUGCGCGAUUGAAUGAGCCGAUGUCGGAUUAGCUAGUUGGCGGGGUAAAGGCCCACCAAGGCGACGAUCCGUAGCUGGUCUGAGAGGAUGAUCAGCCACACUGGAACGGAGACACGGUCCAGACGCCUACGGGAGGCAGCAGUGGGGAAUAUUGGACAAUGGGGGCAAGCCUGAUACAGCCAUACCGCGUGGGUGAAGAAGGCCUUCGGGUUGUAAAGCCCUUUUGUUGGGAAAGAAAAGCAGCAGGUUAAUACCCCGCUGUUCUGACGGUACCCAAAGAAUAAGCACCGGCUAACUUCGUG
Molecule: ribosomal RNA, 492 nt
Filed under: uncultured bacterium
Lineage: Bacteria
Description: partial 16S ribosomal RNA
Rfam family: Bacterial small subunit ribosomal RNA
Source: RNAcentral